AACAACUCACCUGCCGAAUGAAUUAGCCCUGAAAAUGGAUGGCGCUAAAGCGGGCUUCCGAUACCUUACCGUUUGGGCGACUUUGCUUCCAAAUGAGUAGGAGGGCGUGGCGGUUGUAACGAAGCGCAUGUGCAAACGUGCGUGGAACGGCCCCCAGUGCAGAUCUUGGUGUUAGUAGCAAAUAUUCAAAUGAAAACCUUGAAGGGCGAAGCGGGGAAGGGUUCCACGCGAACAUUGAUUGAGCGUGGGUGAGUCGUUCCUAAACCUCGUGGUAAUCGCUAAAAACAGGUGAAAGGGAAGCAGGUUGACAUUCCUGCACAUGGAUGUGGCUUGCGGUGACGCACCAUCGGCGGCAAUUACGCUUGCGGUGGAUCUAGGCAGAGUUUUCUUUUCUGUUUAACCAAAUCUCAAUAUACUCUGUGGAAUCCGCUUGUCGGGAGAAACAGGUACAGUUGGGCAAAGCGCCGGGGUUUUUCCGGCGUCUAGAUCUCCACCGAGGGCCCUUGAAACAUUGUCUGCUGGCAAAAAGGCUUGUUAAGCCCUUUUGUGGAAAAAAACCACGCCAUAACGUACCCAUAACCGCAUCAGGUCCCCAAGGUGAACAGCCUCUGCUCAAUAUGAUCAAU
RNAcentral lists this ribosomal RNA (626 nucleotides) under Anotrichium tenue. Its description in RNAcentral is "eukaryotic LSU rRNA". It matches the Rfam family "Eukaryotic large subunit ribosomal RNA", at positions 1284 to 1899 of the family's 3401-position model. The record is from RNAcentral. Lineage: Eukaryota; Rhodophyta; Florideophyceae; Ceramiales; Ceramiaceae.